UACGGGGGGUGCGAGCGUUGUCCGGAAUCACUGGGCGUAAAGGGCGCGUAGGUGGUUUGAUAAGGGUGUGGUGAAAGUCCGGGGCUCAACCCCGGAUCUGCCGUGCCGACUGUCAAACUCGAGGACUGUAGAGGCAGACGGAAUUCCGGGUGUAGCGGUGGAAUGCGUAGAGAUCCGGAGGAAGACCGGUGGCGAAGGCGGUCUGCUGGGCAGUUGCUGACACUGAGGCGCGACAGCGUGGGGAGCAAACAGGG
RNAcentral lists this ribosomal RNA (254 nucleotides) under uncultured bacterium. RNAcentral's name for it is "partial 16S ribosomal RNA". It matches the Rfam family "Bacterial small subunit ribosomal RNA", at positions 524 to 777 of the family's 1533-position model. The record is from RNAcentral.